RNAcentral lists this transfer RNA (85 nucleotides) under Felis catus (domestic cat). It matches the Rfam family "tRNA". From Rfam's summary of the family: Transfer RNA (tRNA) molecules are approximately 80 nucleotides in length. Their secondary structure includes four short double-helical elements and three loops (D, anti-codon, and T loops). The record is from Rfam by way of RNAcentral. Lineage: Eukaryota; Metazoa; Chordata; Mammalia; Carnivora; Felidae.
ACCUGGGUGGCUCAGUCGGUUGAGCGUCUGACUUCGGCUCAGGUCAUGAUCUCGCGGUUCGUGGGUUUGAGCCCCGCGUCGGGCU